RNAcentral lists this transfer RNA (73 nucleotides) under Bos taurus (domestic cattle). It matches the Rfam family "tRNA". From Rfam's summary of the family: Transfer RNA (tRNA) molecules are approximately 80 nucleotides in length. Their secondary structure includes four short double-helical elements and three loops (D, anti-codon, and T loops). RNAcentral also lists the same sequence under 2 other names. The record is from Rfam by way of RNAcentral. Lineage: Eukaryota; Metazoa; Chordata; Mammalia; Artiodactyla; Bovidae.
UCCCUGGUGGUCCAGUGGCUAAGACUCCGAGCUCCCUAUGCAGGGGGUCCAGGUUCAAUCCCUGGUCAGGGAG